RNAcentral lists this ribosomal RNA (512 nucleotides) under uncultured bacterium. RNAcentral's name for it is "partial 16S ribosomal RNA". It matches the Rfam family "Bacterial small subunit ribosomal RNA", at positions 28 to 507 of the family's 1533-position model. The record is from RNAcentral.
GAUGAACGCUGGCGGCGUGCCUAAUACAUGCAAGUCGAACGAAACUUCUUUAUCACCGAGUGCUUGCACUCACCGAUAAAGAGUUGAGUGGCGAACGGGUGAGUAACACGUGGGCAACCUGCCCAAAAGAGGGGGAUAACACUUGGAAACAGGUGCUAAUACCGCAUAACCAUAGUUACCGCAUGGUAACUAUGUAAAAGGUGGCUAUACUACCGCUUUUGGAUGGGCCCGCGGCGCAUUAGCUAGUUGGUAGGGUAAAGGCUUACCAAGGCAAUGAUGCGUAGCCGAAUUGAGAGGUUGAUCGGCCACAUUGGGACUGAGACACGGCCCAAACUCCUACGGGAGGCAGCAGUAGGGAAUCCUCCACAAAGGGCGAAAGCCUGAUGGAGCAACGCCGCGUGGGUGAAGAAGGUCUUCGGAUCGUAAAACCCUGUUGUUAGAGAAGAAAGUGCGUGAGAGUAACUGUUCACGUUUCGACGGUAUCUAACCAGAAAGCCACUGCUAACUACGUG